UGGCUCAGAACGAACGCUGGCGGCAGGCUUAACACACGCAAGUCGAGCGCCCCGCAAGGGGAGCGGCAGACGGGUGAGCAACGCGUGGGAACCUACCUGAAGGUACGGAACAACUCCGGGAAACUGGAGCUAAUACCGUAUGUGCCCGAAAGGGGAAAGAUUCAUCGCCUUCAGAUGGGCCCGCGUCAGAUUAGCUAGUUGGUGGGGUAAUGGCCCACCAGGGAGACGAUCUGUAGCUGGUCUGAGAGGAUGAUCAGCCACACUGUGACUGAGACACGGACCAGACUCCUACUGCUCGCAGCAGUGGG
This 308-nucleotide ribosomal RNA is filed under the name uncultured Hyphomicrobiales bacterium. RNAcentral describes it as "bacterial SSU rRNA". It matches the Rfam family "Bacterial small subunit ribosomal RNA", at positions 20 to 358 of the family's 1533-position model. Lineage: Bacteria; Pseudomonadati; Pseudomonadota; Alphaproteobacteria; Hyphomicrobiales. The record is from RNAcentral.